RNAcentral lists this unclassified non-coding RNA (140 nucleotides) under soil metagenome. Its description in RNAcentral is "partial internal transcribed spacer 1". The record is from RNAcentral.
CCUAGAGUAUGUAGGGCUUUGCCUGCUAUCUCUUACCCAUGUCUUUUGAGUACCUUCGUUUCCUCGGCGGGUCCGCCUGCCGAUUGGACAAUUUAAACCAUUUGCAGUUGCAAUCAGCGUCUGAAAAAACUUAAUAGUUA